UACGUAGGGUGCGAGCGUUGUCCGGAAUUAUUGGGCGUAAAGAGCUCGUAGGCGGUCUGUCGCGUCUGCUGUGAAAUCCCGAGGCUCAACCUCGGGCCUGCAGUGGGUACGGGCAGACUAGAGUGCGGUAGGGGAGAUUGGAAUUCCUGGUGUAGCGGUGGAAUGCGCAGAUAUCAGGAGGAACACCGAUGGCGAAGGCAGAUCUCUGGGCCGUAACUGACGCUGAGGAGCGAAAGCGUGGGGAGCAAACAGG
This 253-nucleotide ribosomal RNA is filed under the name uncultured bacterium. RNAcentral's name for it is "partial 16S ribosomal RNA". It matches the Rfam family "Bacterial small subunit ribosomal RNA", at positions 524 to 776 of the family's 1533-position model. The record is from RNAcentral.